RNAcentral lists this ribosomal RNA (767 nucleotides) under uncultured bacterium. RNAcentral describes it as "bacterial SSU rRNA". It matches the Rfam family "Bacterial small subunit ribosomal RNA", at positions 147 to 922 of the family's 1533-position model. The record is from RNAcentral.
CAACGGGAAACCGUUGCUAAUACCGGAUAACCCCUGCAGAUCGCAUGAUCAACAGGGCAAAGCUCCGACGGUCUGGGAUCGGCCCGCGGCCUAUCAGCUUGUUGGUGGGGUAAAGGCCUACCAAGGCGAUGACGGGUAGCUGGCGUGAGAGCGUGGCCAGCCGCACUGGGACUGAGACACGGCCCAGACUCCUACGGGAGGCAGCAGUAGGGAAUCUUGCGCAAUGGGCGAAAGCCUGACGCAGCGACGCCGCGUGAGGGAUGACGGCCUUCGGGUUGUAAACCUCUUUCAGCGGGGACGAAGCCUUCGGGUGACGGUACCCGCAGAAGAAGGUCCGGCCAACUACGUGCCAGCAGCCGCGGUAAUACGUAGGGACCGAGCGUUGUCCGGAUUUAUUGGGCGUAAAGCGCGCGUAGGCGGUUAUCCACGUCGGAUGUGAAAGCUCGGGGCUCAACCCUGAGAGGCCAUUCGAUACGAGAUGACUAGAGGCAGGUAGGGGAGAGUGGAAUUCCUGGUGUAGCGGUGAAAUGCGCAGAUAUCAGGAGGAACACCGGUGGCGAAGGCGGCUCUCUGGGCCUUGCCUGACGCUGAGGCGCGAAAGCUGGGGGAGCGAACAGGAUUAGAUACCCUGGUAGUCCCAGCCGUAAACGUUGGGUGCUAGGUGUGGGGCGGUCUUCAACCCGCUCCGUGCCGAAGCUAACGCAUUAAGCACCCCGCCUGGGGAGUACGGCCGCAAGGCUAAAACUCAAAGGAAUUGACGGAAUCGA